UACGAGGGGGGCAAGCGUUGUUCGGAAUUAUUGGGCGUAAAGGGUGCGUAGGCGGUUUUGUAAGUCUUGUGUGAAAUCUUCAGGCUCAACUUGAAGACUGCACGAGAAACUGCAGGGCUUGAGUGUGGGAGAGGUGAGUGGAAUUCCUGGUGUAGCAGUGAAAUGCGUAGAUAUCAGGAGGAACACCUGUGGCGAAAGCGGCUCACUGGACCACAACUGACGCUGAUGCACGAAAGCUAGGGGAGCAAACAGG
This 253-nucleotide ribosomal RNA is filed under the name uncultured bacterium. RNAcentral describes it as "partial 16S ribosomal RNA". It matches the Rfam family "Bacterial small subunit ribosomal RNA", at positions 524 to 776 of the family's 1533-position model. The record is from RNAcentral.